UGUUUUAUCGUCUGAAAGGUCCACCAAAUCUGCUAACAAAUAACUUGACUAUCUCCUCCCGUCGCAAUCAGCUGACUGUAAGCACACACAAACGAAUCUCAGCUUUGAAUCGUCAGCAACGGCUUUAACAUGGAACUUUUACCUUCCAACAAAUAUGUAAAUAUUUCACCGUCAAAUAUGUACAGAGUGUCCGCCGAGGAAUCACACUGCGCCGGCGGAUAGCGCCCUCGUGGAUUCGGCCGCUGACGGCCGAGGUAACGGUAGUGCCGGAACUUGGGGCCUUUGCGCUGCCGGACUCUCGUGCAACUGCCACGGCUGGGCACAUGCUGAGGAGACGGCGAUUCGGCCUUCGCUAAAGCGGCGGAUCAUUUUGCCCGGCAGAUAUCUGAUGUAAAAGAAACAGAGCAAACUUAAAGAAUGAGAAGACUGGAUAAGUGUGAGAAAUGCUGGAGAAGAUGUUAUCUGUGAUUUUAUAGUUCGUUAAUGGAAGUACAAAACGCAUUCCUAAACUUUGUUUAAGGCCUCAGUAAUCAAAUUAUAAGAUUGUCUAUUAGCUUGUUGUACAGUUAAUUAAUAAAUGUUUUUCCUUACAAUUA
Molecule: RNA transcript, 596 nt
Organism: Stegodyphus dumicola
Lineage: Eukaryota; Metazoa; Arthropoda; Arachnida; Araneae; Eresidae
Gene name: silk gland factor 1-like
Source: RefSeq, a predicted model, not a curated record